RNAcentral lists this ribosomal RNA (992 nucleotides) under Fusarium graminearum. RNAcentral's name for it is "SSU rRNA". It matches the Rfam family "Eukaryotic small subunit ribosomal RNA", at positions 1 to 1004 of the family's 1831-position model. Lineage: Eukaryota; Fungi; Ascomycota; Sordariomycetes; Hypocreales; Nectriaceae. The record is from RNAcentral.
ACCUGGUUGAUUCUGCCAGUUGUCAUAUGCUUGUCUCAAAGAUUAAGCCAUGCAUGUCUAAGUAUAAGCAAUUAUACAGCGAAACUGCGAAUGGCUCAUUAUAUAAGUUAUCGUUUAUUUGAUAGUACCUUACUACUUGGAUAACCGUGGUAAUUCUAGAGCUAAUACAUGCUAAAAAUCCCGACUUCGGAAGGGAUGUAUUUAUUAGAUUAAAAACCAAUGCCCUCCGGGGCUCACUGGUGAUUCAUGAUAACUCCUCGAAUCGCAUGGCCUUGCGCCGGCGAUGGUUCAUUCAAAUUUCUUCCCUAUCAACUUUCGAUGCCUGGGUAUUGGCCAAACAUGGUUGCAACGGGUAACGGAGGGUUAGGGCUCGACCCCGGAGAAGGAGCCUGAGAAACGGCUACUACAUCCAAGGAAGGCAGCAGGCGCGCAAAUUACCCAAUCCCGACGGGGGGAGGUAGUGACAAUAAAUACUGAUACAGGGCUCUUUUGGGUCUUGUAAUUGGAAUGAGUACAAGUUAAAUCCUGUAACGAGGAAUAAUUGGAGGGCAAGUCUGGUGCCAGCAGCCGCGGUAAUUCCAGCUCCAAUAGCGUAUAUUAAAGUUGUUGUGGUUAAAAAGCUCGUAGUUGAACCUUGGGCCUGGCUGGCCGGUCCGCCUCACCGCGUGUACUGGUCCGGCCGGGCCUUUCCCUCUGUGGAACCCUAUGCCCUUCACUGGGCGUGGCGGGGAAACAGGACUUUUACUGUGAAAAAAUUAGAGUGCUCCAGGCAGGCCUAUGCUCGAAUACAUUAGCAUGGAAUAAUAGAAUAGGACGUGUGGUUCUAUUUUGUUGGUUUCUAGGACCGCCGUAAUGAUUAAUAGGGACAGUCGGGGGCAUCAGUAUUCAAUUGUCAGAGGUGAAAUUCUUGGAAUUAUUGAAGACUAACUACUGCGAAAGCAUUUGCCAAGGAUGUUAUCAUUAAUCAGCAACGAAAGUUAGGGGAUCGAAGA